RNAcentral lists this ribosomal RNA (253 nucleotides) under uncultured bacterium. RNAcentral describes it as "partial 16S ribosomal RNA". It matches the Rfam family "Bacterial small subunit ribosomal RNA", at positions 524 to 776 of the family's 1533-position model. The record is from RNAcentral.
UACGUAGGGGGCUAGCGUUGUCCGGAAUCAUUGGGCGUAAAGCGCGUGUAGGCGGUUCGGUAAGUCCGCUGUGAAAGUCGGGGGCUCAACCCUCGGAUGCCGGUGGAUACUGUCGGACUAGAGUGCGGAAGAGGCGAGUGGAAUUCCUGGUGUAGCGGUGAAAUGCGCAGAUAUCAGGAGGAACACCAAUUGCGAAGGCAGCUCGCUGGGACGUUACUGACGCUGAGACGCGAAAGCGUGGGGAGCAAACAGG